GCGUUUACUCAUUGAAGCCUUGUCCAUGUCUCCGAUGUUUGAAGGCACAGAUGAAAGCAGAAAUUUAGCUAUGAAUAGUACAGCCAUGAGGGAGGACAAGUACUUUUUGGCUGGAAGGGCAAUUGCUGUUAGCCUCGUCCAUGGAGGUCCAGCUCCACGGUUCCUUUCUCCAGUCCUUUUCGCUAGCUUGGUUGGAGGUCCAAAUGCAGCUUGUCCUACUUUAAAAGAUGUAACUGAUGCAGACCUCCAUGAAAAACUGAAAAAGGUAUCUGAAAGUUCCACUCUGGAGGAGCUUCUGAGAGCCACAGAUCCUCUUUUAGACUACAUGACCAAUGCAGGAUGUGUCAGACCCUUAACAACCAUCAGUGAUCGAGAUCUUCUCCUGCAUGACCUGCUGAUGUUUCAUGUUGUUCACAGGGUUCUAGGCCCCUUUCAAAGAUGUAGUUUGUUUUUAAUAUUUCUUUAAAUGCAUGAUACAAAAACGUCUUUGCUCAGUUUAUCAAUCAGAGACUGGGAGUAAAUGUUUAUUUGCUUAUUUAUUUUUGUACAAGUUUGAAGAAGGACUAAAAACACUUGGAGUUUUAGAUGCUGUUAAGCAACAUCCAGACAGUUUUCGCUCUUUGUUCUGCCAUGAGCCACAGCGAUUAACUGCUGACAUGAUGGAUGACCUUUUCACCCCUCGGCUUGCUCCCAAAGGAAUUAACCGAAGAAGAGCAGAAGAUGCAGUUAUUCCUUUGUGGAGAGAUUAUCUGCAAGAUGCAGAAGAUGAGGAAGGAUCAUCAAAGCUUCAAAACCUCCUUGUAUUUGCAACUGGAGCAAAUGAGAUACCACCAGUCGGCUUUUCUCCAGCACCAUCCAUCGAGUUUAACCAUGAGGACAGUGAAGAAAGCUCCUCAAAACGAAUGUUCCCCAUGGCCAACACAUGUAUAAACUGUUUGAAACUCCCGCUCAUAACUUCUUAUGAGGCUUUUAAGGAAAGCAUGGACUUUGCUUUAGGGAACACCCAGGGAUUUGGAAGAACAUAAACACUUUUUUGCUUGAAUUACAUUUCUCACAGUAUAUAGUUAUGUUGCUUUAAAGUUUAGACAUUUAUUUGCAAAACCUAAAGCUGGUCCAGGUUAGCAAAGUAAUUUUGUUCAGAAGUUAUAUAAUGGAACACUGGGCACUAGCAGGGACGAGAGAAUGGUCAACAUAAAAAAUAAGUUAUUUUAAGUUUAAUUCAAACACAUUCUAGGUUUCACCUGGUAUGUUGUAAUCUUUGUUACUUUUUUUUUCCUUUUCAAAAUUUGAUAAAUUCUCAUCUUUGUUUUAUUGCCACCUGCAGGGCAUUAUAUACAGUCCGGCAUGUUAGUUGGAGUGAGCUUUUUUUCUUUUACCAUUCUAAUUUUCAAAGGUUUAGAAUUACCUCACAACAUCCAGUUUAUUUUCAUACCAUAAAUUUCCCAGUUGGAAGUUUUAC
Molecule: long non-coding RNA, 1459 nt
Organism: Girardinichthys multiradiatus
Lineage: Eukaryota; Metazoa; Chordata; Actinopteri; Cyprinodontiformes; Goodeidae
Exons: 4
Source: RefSeq, a predicted model, not a curated record